CAGUAGCCACGGGAAUACAGAGGGUGCGAGCGUUAAUCGGAUUUACUGGGCGUAAAGCGUGCGUAGGCGGCUUCUUAAGUCGGAUGUGAAAUCCCUGAGCUUAACUUAGGAAUUGCAUUCGAUACUGGUAAGCUAGAGUAUGGGAGAGGAUGGUAGAAUUCCAGGUGUAGCGGUGAAAUGCGUAGAGAUCUGGAGGAAUACCGAUGGCGAAGGCAGCCAUCUGGCCUAAUACUGACGCUGAGGUACGAAAGCAUGGGGAGCAAACAGGAUUAGAUACCCCCGUAGUCCCUGUCUCUUAUAC
Molecule: ribosomal RNA, 301 nt
Filed under: uncultured bacterium
Lineage: Bacteria
Description: partial 16S ribosomal RNA
Rfam family: Bacterial small subunit ribosomal RNA
Source: RNAcentral